UUGUUGUUAAGAAUAUAUUUUUUGGCUUUUGUUCGAGCGUAAUUUUCUCUCUUUCUUUCACCGAAUACUUGCUCUCUCUAACAGUCGUGUGCUUGAACGCUCGACCGACAGAACAAGACAUUUCUGUUCGUUUUGGUAUAAAUAGCCAUUAAAAAUGUGUUUUGAAAAUUAAUGCGUCAUCUUUGUGUGAAUUAAACCUUUUUAAACUUGUAUUACAAAAGGAAUGUCUUAGUUUGUCUAUUUGAUGAUAUGUGGGGGCUGAUUUCGGAAACUAACGAAUCAAAGUUGAUAGCUCUUUAAUUGUUUGAAAUCUACACAAUUUUCGAGGUUGUUGUAGCUUAUUUUUAAUGUUUUUUUACUAUUUUAAAGCAUUUCUUGUUGUUUAGAAUAUAUUUUUUGGCUUUUGUUCGAGCGUAAUUUUCUCUCUUUCUUUCACCGAAUACUUGCUUUCUUUAACAGUCGUAUGCUUUCCAUGCAAAAAACAUUACCCUCUUCGGUGGUACAGAAUUAAAGUCGACUUUUUCGCAGGCAUUUUUGACUGAUGUGGAAAAUUAUUUCAGUUUCAAGAAGGCGUUCCAUGAAUAAAACAUUUCUCUUUUCGAUGAUAAAAACAGAUCUUAAUUUGGAAAAAAUAAAAUAACCUUAGUACAGCCCUGUAAAACGUCAUCUGUAUUUGUAGAAACAAUAAAAAUCGCGAUUUUCGCAGGCAUUUUUGAUAGAGAAACUUAAUUCGUAAUUGGAAAAAGGCCUUCUAUGCUCAAAAUGUUAUACUCUCCUUAAUGAUAGGAAUGGAUUUUAAUUGGGACUUUUAAUAAACUUAAUACAGCCCUGUAAACUGCCGCCUGUCUUUGUAGAAACAACAAAAAUUGAGAUUUUCGCGCGGUCGCUUCAGGCUGAUCUGGAAAAUUAUCUCGCAGCUUCACAAAGCUACCUGACGAUAAGAAUUGUGAAGAAGAUUUUUUAAGAAGAACGAACACCUGCAAUGGGCGAGAUCAGUGGAUGACUUAAAUUACAACAAUGGUACAUCUUCCAAUCCAGUCAUCAAAUAAGAGCCACCCCUACAAUGGACCAAUUAGAGCAUCGUCUUUACAGGGACACUUCGGGGAAUGAUACAUCGUCCAGUCCAGCUAUCAAACAAGAGGAACCACAGCAAUGGACCAAUUCGUGGAUCGUCUUUAUAGGGACAUUUCCAGGAAUUGUCUUCGUGCUGAAGAAUUUUUCAAAUCUUAUACUCUUUCAAGUACAUAUUCCAACCCAGUUAUCGAACAAAAACCACCCCAGCAAUGGGCCAACUCAAGGAUGGUCGUUAUAAGAACAACAAGAGUAAUGUAACAUCUUCCUGUCCAGCCAUUGAACAAGAACCACCCCAACAAUGGGCUAACUCAAGGAUCGUCUUUGUCAGGACACGAUUUUUAAAACUUCUUUUCUUUUGUGUUUAUUUUGCCACUUUUCUUUGGAACUUAUUUUAUUUUAAGUUUCUUGAGUUAGACUUACAAUCAUAUGCUUGCAGGAGUAUCUUCUUGACUUAUUUUUAGAUCCUUAUGUUGAAGAAUUUUUUGAAACCAUAUACUCUUUCAGGCAUAUCUUCCAGCCCAGUUAUCGUACAAGGAUCACCCCUACAAUGGACCAAUUCGAGAAUCGUCUUUAUAGGGACAGUUCGAGUAAUGGUACAUCUCCCAGUCCAGCCACCGAACAGGGACCACACCAGCAAUUGGUCACUUCCAGGAUCGUCGAGAUGCGAUUCAACAGGGGUAGGCUUAUUUUUUUGUACUU
RNAcentral lists this long non-coding RNA (1773 nucleotides) under Agrilus planipennis (emerald ash borer). RNAcentral describes it as "uncharacterized LOC108738954, transcript variant X5". Lineage: Eukaryota; Metazoa; Arthropoda; Insecta; Coleoptera; Buprestidae. The record is from RNAcentral.